CCUACGGGCGGCAGCAGUGAGGAAUAUUGGUCAAUGGGCGCGAGCCUGAACCAGCCAAGUAGCGUGAAGGAUGACUGCCCUACGGGUUGUAAACUUCUUUUAUAAAGGAAUAAAGUGAGGCACGUGUGCCUUUUUGUAUGUACUUUAUGAAUAAGGAUCGGCUAACUCCGUGCCAGCAGCCGCGGUAAUACGGAGGAUCCGAGCGUUAUCCGGAUUUAUUGGGUUUAAAGGGAGCGUAGAUGGGUUGUUAAGUCAGUAGUGAAAGUUUGCGGCUCAACCGUAAAAUUGCAAUUGAUACUGGCAGCCUUGAGUACUGGAGAGGUAGGCGGAAUGCGUGGUGUAGCGGUGAAAUGCUUAGAUAUCACGAAGAACUCCGAUUGCGAAGGCAGCCUACUAGACUGCCACUGACAUUGAUGCUCGAAAGUGUGGGUAGCAAACAGGAUUAGAUACCCCUGUAGUC
This 460-nucleotide ribosomal RNA is filed under the name uncultured bacterium. Its description in RNAcentral is "partial 16S ribosomal RNA". It matches the Rfam family "Bacterial small subunit ribosomal RNA", at positions 338 to 795 of the family's 1533-position model. The record is from RNAcentral.